Triticum aestivum (bread wheat) is the source of this 119-nucleotide non-coding RNA. NCBI's taxonomy places the organism in Eukaryota, Viridiplantae, Streptophyta, Magnoliopsida, Poales, Poaceae. The record is from Rfam.
GGAUGCGAUCAUACCAGCACUACAGCACCAGAUCCCAUCAGAACUUCGAAGUUAAGCGUGCUUGGGCGAGAGUAGUACUAGGAUGGGUGACCUCCUCAGAAGUCCUCGUGUUGCAUUCC